This 679-nucleotide ribosomal RNA is filed under the name uncultured Eubacteriales bacterium. Its description in RNAcentral is "bacterial SSU rRNA". It matches the Rfam family "Bacterial small subunit ribosomal RNA", at positions 59 to 741 of the family's 1533-position model. Lineage: Bacteria; Bacillati; Bacillota; Clostridia; Eubacteriales. The record is from RNAcentral.
AAGUCGAACGAUGAAACUUAAAUGAUUUCUUCGGAAUGAACUUAAGUGGAUUAGUGGCGGACGGGUGAGUAACGCGUGAGUAACCUGCCUUACACAAGGGGAUAGCCGUUGGAAACGACGAAUAAUACCCUAUGAAACUAUCACUUCGCAUGAAGCGAUAGUCAAAGUGUUAGCGGUGUAAGAUGGACUUGCGUCUGAUUAGCUAGUUGGUGAGAAAAAAGCCCACCAAGGCAACGAUCAGUAGCCGGCUUGAGAGAGUGUACGGCCACAUUGGGACUGAGACACGGCCCAGACUCCUACGGGAGGCAGCAGUGGGGAAUUUUGCACAAUGGGGGAAACCCUGAUGCAGCGACGCCGCGUGAUUUAGAAGGCCUUCGGGUUGUAAAAAUCUUUUGUAUAGGAAGAAAAUGACAGUACUAUACGAAUAAGGUCCGGCUAAUUACGUGCCAGCAGCCGCGGUAAUACGUAAGGACCGAGCGUUGUCCGGAAUCAUUGGGCGUAAAGGGUACGUAGGCGGGUCAUUAAGUUAGAAGUCAAAGGCUAUAGCUCAACUAUAGUAAGCUUCUAAAACUGGCGACCUUGAGUAAUGGAAGGGAAAGUGGAAUUCCUAGUGUAGCGGUGGAAUGCGCAGAUAUUAGGAGGAAUACCGGUGGCGAAGGCGACUUUCUGGCCAUUAACU